GACGAACGCUGGCGGCGUGCCUAAUACAUGCAAGUCGAGCGCUAAAGGCUGGUACUUGUACCAACUGGAUGAGCAGCGAACGGGGGAGUAACGCGUGGGGAAUCUGCCAUCGAGCGGGGGACAACAUUUGAAAACGAAUGCUAAUACCGCAUAAAAACUUUAAACACAAGUUUUAAGUUGGAAAGAUGCAAUUGCAUCACUCAAAGAUGAUUCCGCGCUGUAUUAGCUAGUUGGUGGGGUAAAGGCUCACCAAGGCGAAGGUACAUAGCCGACCUGAGAGGGUGGACGGCCACAGUGGGACUGGGACACGGCCCAAACGCCUGAGGGAGGCAGCAGGCAGGAAUCUUCAGCAAUGGACGAAAGGCUGAACGAGGAACGACGGGUGAGGGGAGGAGGAUGUCGGAUCGUGAAACUCUGUUGGUAGAGGAGAACGUUGGUGAGAGUGGAAAGCUCAUCUAGUGACGGUAACUACACAGAAAGCGACGGCUAACUACGUG
RNAcentral lists this ribosomal RNA (497 nucleotides) under uncultured bacterium. Its description in RNAcentral is "partial 16S ribosomal RNA". It matches the Rfam family "Bacterial small subunit ribosomal RNA", at positions 28 to 507 of the family's 1533-position model. The record is from RNAcentral.